This 582-nucleotide ribosomal RNA is filed under the name Triticum aestivum (bread wheat). RNAcentral's name for it is "partial small subunit ribosomal RNA". The record is from RNAcentral. Lineage: Eukaryota; Viridiplantae; Streptophyta; Magnoliopsida; Poales; Poaceae.
AUGAUUGGAAAGGCUCUUUCCAAGCAUAAGGGACUAAAGAACCGGAACCUCCCCUCCUCCCUCCCGCGACGCUCCCGCAAGCGUCCGGGGGGCAACCCUAGCACCGCCGCCGGUCCCCCCUCCUCCUCUCCCUCCCCCCUCGCGGCCGCCCGGGGGCGCGAGCGCCCGCUCGUCGCUGGCGGCGGCGGGGCCUUCUCGUCUCCGCGCGUGGGGGUUUCUGUGAGGGCCGGAUGCCUCUGGCCGGAUGCGGCGCUUGGCGCUGGCCGUGGCAGCUCGGUAGCGCGCCGACGUGGGCUGUCAGCGGCGCAUGCCAGCGAUGCGAUGGGCAGUGCGGUGGUGGUGCAGGCUGGAGGCUGGUGGUGGCGGUGGCGCGCCCAGAUCCGCCUCUGGCGCCGCGAGUUGCGGGCGACCUGGGUCGCGGUCGGCCUUCCCUACCAUGGCUCGUGGGCCGGGGGGGGGCAGCGGGUGGAUGCGUGUGCCGUUGCCCGUUCGGGCCCUUGCGGCAGGUCGACGUCGCACGGCGCUGGAGACUCCUCUGGUGGCCAUCCAUGGAUGCGGCAGCGGGCUCUGCUUCCUCAUUAG